This 495-nucleotide ribosomal RNA is filed under the name uncultured bacterium. RNAcentral describes it as "bacterial SSU rRNA". It matches the Rfam family "Bacterial small subunit ribosomal RNA", at positions 29 to 517 of the family's 1533-position model. The record is from RNAcentral.
AACGAACGCUGGCGGCGCGCCUAAUACAUGCAAGUCGAGCGAGAAGGUGUAGCAAUACACUUGUAAAGCGGCGAACGGGUGAGGAAUACAUGGGUAAUCUACCAUCGAGUGGGGAAUAACCAGCCGAAAGGUUGGCUAAUACCGCGUACGCCUCCGGAUCUUCGGGUUCGGAGGGAAAGCCACACUGUGAGUGCGGCGCUCUUUGAUGAGCUCAUGUCCUAUCAGCUUGUUGGUAGGGUAACGGCCUACCAAGGCUUUGACGGGUAGCUGGUCUGAGAGGACGAUCAGCCACACUGGCACUGCGACACGGGCCAGACUCCUACGGGAGGCAGCAGUAAGGAAUAUUGCGCAAUGGGCGAAAGCCUGACGCAGCGACGCCGCGUGGGGGAUGAAGGUCUUCGGAUUGUAAACCCCUUUCGGGAGGGAAGAUGGAGCGAGCAAUCGUUCGGACGGUACCUCAAGAGGCAGCCACGGCCAACUUCGUGCCAGCAGCCG